AUACGUAGGGUGCGAGCGUUGUCCGGAAUUACUGGGCGUAAAGAGCUCGUAGGUGGUUUGUCGCGUCGUCUGUGAAAUUCCGGGGCUUAACCCCGGGCGUGCAGGCGAUACGGGCAUAACUUGAGUACUGUAGGGGAGACUGGAAUUCCUGGUGUAGCGGUGAAAUGCGCAGAUAUCAGGAGGAACACCGGUGGCGAAGGCGGGUCGCUGGGCGGUAACUGACGCUGAGGAGCGAAAGCAUGGGUAGCGAACAGGAUUAGAUACCCUGGUAGUCCAUGCCGUAAACGGUGGGCGCUAGGUGUAGGGGUCUUCCACGACUUCUGUGCCGUAGCUAACGCAUUAAGCGCCCCGCCUGGGGAGUACGGCCGCAAGGCUAAAACUCAAAGGAAUUGACGGGG
RNAcentral lists this ribosomal RNA (398 nucleotides) under uncultured bacterium. Its description in RNAcentral is "partial 16S ribosomal RNA". It matches the Rfam family "Bacterial small subunit ribosomal RNA", at positions 523 to 918 of the family's 1533-position model. The record is from RNAcentral.